UUUGAUCAUGGCUCAGGACGAACGCUGGCGGCGUGCUUAACACAUGCAAGUCGAACGGGACCAGGGGCAACUCUGGUUCAGUGGCGGACGGGUGCGUAACACGUGAGGAACAUGACUUUCGGUGGGGGAUAGCCGGCCCAACGGCCGGGUAAUACCGCGUACGACCAUUUGGGGACAUCCCCGAGUGGUGAAAGCAGCAAUGCGCCGAAAGAGUGCCUCGCGGCCUAUCAGCUAGUUGGUGGGGUAAUGGCUCACCAAGGCAACGACGGGUAGCUGGUCUGAGAGGAUGGCCAGCCACAUUGGGACUGAGACACGGCCCAGACUCCUACGGGAGGCAGCAGUGGGGAAUAUUGCGCAAUGGGCGAAAGCCUGACGCAGCGACGCCGCGUGGGUGAUGAAGGCCUUCGGGUUGUAAAGCCCUGUCGCCUGGGACGAACAAGCUCGUGAAGAACGAGCUCUGACGGUACCAGGAGAGGAAGCACCGGCUAACUCUGUGCCAGCAGCCGCGGUAAUAC
This 515-nucleotide ribosomal RNA is filed under the name uncultured Pseudomonadota bacterium. RNAcentral's name for it is "bacterial SSU rRNA". It matches the Rfam family "Bacterial small subunit ribosomal RNA", at positions 12 to 526 of the family's 1533-position model. Lineage: Bacteria; Pseudomonadati; Pseudomonadota. The record is from RNAcentral.